CAGUAGCCGCGGUAAUACGUAGGUCCCGAGCGUUGUCCGGAUUUAUUGGGCGUAAAGCGAGCGCAGGCGGUUAGAUAAGUCUGAAGUUAAAGGCUGUGGCUUAACCAUAGUACGCUUUGGAAACUGUUUAACUUGAGUGCAAGAGGGGAGAGUGGAAUUCCAUGUGUAGCGGUGAAAUGCGUAGAUAUAUGGAGGAACACCGGUGGCGAAAGCGGCUCUCUGGCUUGUAACUGACGCUGAGGCUCGAAAGCGUGGGGCGCAAACAGGAUUAGAUACCCCGCGUAGUCCCUGUCUCUUAUAC
This 301-nucleotide ribosomal RNA is filed under the name uncultured bacterium. RNAcentral describes it as "partial 16S ribosomal RNA". It matches the Rfam family "Bacterial small subunit ribosomal RNA", at positions 509 to 807 of the family's 1533-position model. The record is from RNAcentral.